AAACAGCUUUCUGAAAUGCAGUUCUUUCUGUUCCCGCUGUUAUCAUUUCCUAGGACACUGGGAAAGACCCCGAGCUCUAAAUGUUGGAUUAAGAUCUUCACUUCAGCAGCUGAGGAGUUGCACAUCAUUCCAGUUUUUAAUUGUCUUGGAAAACUUAUUCAGGACAAGAAAAGUGUGGGUAUAACUGAUCUGUGUGCAUACAAUCACACUCAGGAAACUGGGAAAAAGAUUCUUGAGGGCAGAAAGAAAGAUCUACCUGGUGGUGGCAUAACAAAAAGAUUAUACAACCCUGCAAGAAGAAUGUUAUUUAAGAGAAUCCUCAAAGGCCACUCUAAGGAUUGCUGCUGAGAAUAAAGCAUCUGAGAUGGAUAAUGUUCUUACA
Molecule: long non-coding RNA, 382 nt
Filed under: Phasianus colchicus (ring-necked pheasant)
Lineage: Eukaryota; Metazoa; Chordata; Aves; Galliformes; Phasianidae
Description: lncRNA (ENSPCLG00000007922.1)
Source: RNAcentral